UACGGAAGGCAGCAGGGGGAAUAUUGCACAAUGGGCGCAAGCCUGAUGCAGCCAUGCCGCGUGUAUGAAGAAGGCCUUCGGGUUGUAAAGUACUUUCAGUCGUGAGGAAGGUGUUAAGGUUAAUAACCUUAGCAAUUGACGUUAGCGACAGAAGAAGCACCGGCUAACUCCGUGCCAGCAGCCGCGGUAAUACGGAGGGUGCGAGCGUUAAUCGGAAUUACUGGGCGUAAAGGGCACGCAGGCGGUUAAUUAAGUUGGAUGUGAAAUCCCCCGGGCUUAACCUGGGAAUGGCAUUCAAGACUGGUUAGCUAGAGUCUUGUAGAGGGGGUAGAAUUCCAUGUGUAGCGGUGAAAUGCGUAGAGAUGUGGAGGAAUACCGGUGGCGAAGGCGGCCCCUGGACAAAGACUGACGCUCAUGUGCGAAAGCGUGGGGAGCAAACAGGGAUUAGAUACC
RNAcentral lists this ribosomal RNA (453 nucleotides) under uncultured bacterium. RNAcentral describes it as "bacterial SSU rRNA". It matches the Rfam family "Bacterial small subunit ribosomal RNA", at positions 340 to 786 of the family's 1533-position model. The record is from RNAcentral.